CACAACUUUGCCUAAAAACGUACUUGCGAGCUUGUUCAAUCUUCUGUAGUGGGGGUAAGCGCUUGCAUGGCUAAAGCCUGAAAAUUGGAAGAUUCUUGGAUUGCAACUUUCUUCCUCUCCUCCAUUAGAAGAUUUUUUAAGAUUUUGGGGCCAAGAAUUUUGAGCGUUACUCAAAGAAGGUUGAAGAAGAAGAUGAAAUUGAAGAAAGUGAAGCCAGUGUCUGGAGCCUAGCAUUGGCUGAUCGCGAGGGGUUGCAGGGCGAGACUCUCCUCUCUACUCUCAGUUUCCUCUCUUGCUCUCUCACUCAAGCCUGGAAGGCAG
This 321-nucleotide unclassified non-coding RNA is filed under the name Hevea brasiliensis (rubber tree). Lineage: Eukaryota; Viridiplantae; Streptophyta; Magnoliopsida; Malpighiales; Euphorbiaceae. The record is from RNAcentral.